GAUGAACGCUAGCGGCAGGCCUAAUACAUGCAAGUCGGACGGGAUUUGGGAGCUUGCUCCUAAUGAGAGUGGCGCACGGGUGCGUAACACGUAUGUAACCUACCUUAAUCAGGGGGAUAGCCUCUCGAAAGAGAGAUUAACACCGCAUAAUAUAUUUUUAUGGCAUCGUAGAAAUAUCAAAUAUUUAUAGGAUUAAGAUGGGCAUGCGGAACAUUAGCUAGUUGGUAAGGUAACGGCUUACCAAGGCUACGAUGUUUAGGGGGUCUGAGAGGAUGACCCCCCACACUGGUACUGAGACACGGACCAGACUCCUACGGGAGGCAGCAGUAAGGAAUAUUGGUCAAUGGGCGCAAGCCUGAACCAGCCAUGCCGCGUGCAGGAAGACGGCCCUAUGGGUUGUAAACUGCUUUUGUACCGGAAUAAACCCUUUUACGUGUAAGAGGCUGAAUGUACGGUAAGAAUAAGGAUCGGCUAACUCCGUGCCAGCAGCCGCCGCGG
This 498-nucleotide ribosomal RNA is filed under the name uncultured bacterium. RNAcentral's name for it is "partial 16S ribosomal RNA". It matches the Rfam family "Bacterial small subunit ribosomal RNA", at positions 28 to 523 of the family's 1533-position model. The record is from RNAcentral.